AUCUGUUAGAGCAAUCGAAGCAGUGAACUUAAGCCCCAGUAAACGGCGGCCGUAACUAUAACGGUCCUAAGGUAGCGAAAUUCCUUGUCGGGUAAGUUCCGACCCGCACGAAAGGCGUAACGAUUUGGGCACUGUCUCAACAACAGACUCGGUGAAAUUGUAAUUCCGGUGAAGAUGCCGGAUACCUGCGACAGGACGGAAAGACCCCAUGGAGCUUUACUGUAGCUUGACAUUGGGUCUUGGUACUACAUGUACAGGAUAGGUGGGAGGCUUUGAAACCAGGACGCCAGUUUUGGCGGAGCCAUCCUUGGGAUACCACCCUUGUAGUACUGGGACUCUAACCAUAGGCCAUGAAUCUGGUCUUGGGACACUGUCAGGUGGGCAGUUUGACUGGGGCGGUCGCCUCCCAAAAGGUAACGGAGGCGCUCAAAGGUUCUCUCAGUACGGUCGGAAAUCGUACGUAGAGUGUAAAGGCAAAAGAGAGCUUGAUUGCAAGACAUACAGGUCGAGCAAGGAUGAAAAUCGGACUUAGUGAUCCGGUGGUUCUGCGUGGAAGGGCCAUCGCUCAACGGAUAAAAGCUACCCUGGGGAUAACAGGCUUAUCUCCCCCAAGAGUCCACAUCGACGGGGAGGUUUGGCACCUCGAUGUCGGCUCAUCACAUCCUGGGGCUGUAGUAGGUCCCAAGGGUUGGGCUGUUCGCCCAUUAAAGUGGUACGCGAGCUGGGUUCAGAACGUCGUGAGACAGUUCGGUCCCUAUCCGUCGCAGGCGUAGGAAAUUUGAGAAGACCUGUCCUUAGUACGAGAGGACCGGGAUGGACGUACCUCUGGUGUACCAGUUGUCCUGCCAAGGGCAUGGCUGGGUAGCUAUGU
This 871-nucleotide ribosomal RNA is filed under the name Clostridioides difficile. Its description in RNAcentral is "partial 23S ribosomal RNA". It matches the Rfam family "Bacterial large subunit ribosomal RNA", at positions 1885 to 2754 of the family's 2925-position model. Lineage: Bacteria; Bacillati; Bacillota; Clostridia; Peptostreptococcales; Peptostreptococcaceae. The record is from RNAcentral.